AGCAGGUUGGCUUUCUGUAGGGGCCGAGUGAAAACGUCAAUGCUAAUUUGUUUAGGCUAACAGCUAGUCCUUUUAUUAUGCACGAUGAUUCGGAUAAAUUGAGUGUGUGAUGUUUGGGUGCCGUAAAUGGUUUCUACAACAGGAAGCAGGAGAGGAACUAGAAUAACUGUAAAGAAACCAAUGUAAAUAACAUUCUCAAGUUGAUGGUGUGGAUUCUGUAAAAAGACACAGAGCGUCUCAACCCCCGAGUCCUGAAGCUGGUUCCAGCUGAGGUCCAUCCUUUUCAGGUGGGAUGGGUUGGAGUUCAGAGCGGAGUUCAGAUAAAAGCAGCUGACGCCUGACAGUGUACAAGACUGCAACCUGAAAAUAGUCCACAGUGUGGACUUUCCAGGCCGCUACUUAAGAUCCGUACAUGUUUGUCCUCCAAGUAAUUUCCACUGAGGUCCAGCUCUUUUAAAGGGGAAGUUCUGGACUUCAGAGCUGAGGCAAUGACUUCACAAUGAGUCUCUGAAAGUCGACAGCCAAGUACCUGCAUUGACACCUAAGGUGUUGAACUGCCAACAGUCUGGACUCACCGGGCCUUCUUGCAGUUCCUCACAGCUGAGAUCAGUCUCCAUCGUCCCUCCACUGAUGUGUUGUACUUCUCCAGGUCCAACUCCUCCA
Long non-coding RNA from Cynoglossus semilaevis (tongue sole), 663 nucleotides. RefSeq lists it as uncharacterized. The transcript has 4 exons. The record is from RefSeq and is a predicted model, not a curated record. NCBI's taxonomy places the organism in Eukaryota, Metazoa, Chordata, Actinopteri, Pleuronectiformes, Cynoglossidae.